Oreochromis niloticus (Nile tilapia) is the source of this 2366-nucleotide RNA transcript. It is a transcript of the gene named solute carrier family 16 member 12b, with no coding region annotated. The record is from RefSeq and is a predicted model, not a curated record. Lineage: Eukaryota; Metazoa; Chordata; Actinopteri; Cichliformes; Cichlidae. The transcript has 8 exons.
GGGGGGGCGGUCACUCAUUGAUCGCAGGAACUUUUAAACCCACAGACAGAAUUAGGGUGGCGGAACUUCACUGUCACUCCACUGGGACUCUACUGGGUUCGACUCAGAGGAAGAUGAAGGAGACUUUUAUUCUCCUGGAAACAAACUGAACGUCUUUCUUUCCGUCUUCUGUCCCUCUGCCACCCAGCUUCACCUGGCCGAUCUCCACCCGUCAUUGGAGGAGGGCUCAGUGCACCUGGAUACCUGAUCACCUGCGGUCCAAGCCACACUUUUACCUUUGUUUUUGCUGUUGUGAAGCAGCUGACAGGCUUCAGGUUUGCACCAGAAGCUCCAGGAUCAGCCUCCGUGGUAAAGCUGCAGCGAUGGCUGCUGGAAAGCAGCGGGGCGGCCGGGGGGGGCCUCCGGAUGGCGGGUGGGGGUGGGUGAUUGUCGGCUGCUGCUUCAUGGUGAUGGUGUGCACGCGUGCAGUGACCAGGUGUGUCUCCAUCUUCUUCGUGGAGUUCCAGGCUCACUUCGGGGCCGACUAUGCUGCCACCGCCUGGAUCCACAGCCUGCUGGACUGCAGCACCAUGCUCUGCGCUCCCGUCGGCAGCCUGGUGGGGAGCCGCUGGUCUUGCAGGGCGGCGGUGGUGGUGGGGGGCCUCCUGGCCUCCUGCGGCCUCCUGCUCAGCUCCUUCGCCACCAGCCUGGAGGUGCUUUACUUCAGCGCCGGGAUCCUGACAGGUCUGGGCUUCGCCCUCUGCUACACCCCUGCCAUCGCCCUGGUGGGCUGUUACUUCCAGCGGAGGAAGGCGCUGGCAUACGGCGUGGCCAUGUCGGGCAGCGGGAUCGGGACCUUCGUGCUGGCUCCGGUGGUGCAGAUGCUCAUCCAGCUGUACUCGUGGAGGGGGGCGCUGCUCGUCCUCAGUGGCUUCGUCGCAAACCUGUGCGUCUGUGGGGCGCUGCUCCGACCAAUAGCACUGCAGGAGGAGCAGUGUGGUGACAUCUCACAGCAGGAUGUGGAUAAACCUCCCAAAGACUCUGUGGACCUCCUAGCUCCGCCUCUUCCACCUGGAAGCUCCGCCCCCAGGCUGAGGAGAAUGUGGCGCCUCCUGUCCUGCGGGGAGUACCGCUUCCUGCUGCUGCCUGACUUCCUGGGUCUGGCUGGGUCCUUCCUGUUUCUGGCCAGCGGAUGCAGCCUCCCCUUCGUGUACCUGGUGCCCUACGCCCUGAGUGUCGGCGUCAGCCACCAGCACGCCGCCUUCCUCAUGUCCAUCCUGGGGGUCAUCGACAUCAUGGGGAACAUCACCUUUGGCUGGCUGACGGACAGAAGGUGUUUGAAGCCGUACCGCCUGGCCUGUUACGUCUUCUCGGUCGGGAUGGAGGGCCUCUGCUGCCUCUUCAUGCCGUUACUUUGUUCCUUCCCGCUCCUCGUGUCCUUUGCCGUGCUCUACGGCUACUUCGACGGCGCCUACGUGGCUCUGAUCCCAGUGGUGACGUCUGAUGUGGUCGGAACUAGGUAUCUGUCCUCAGCUCUGGGCGUUGUCUACUUCCUCCACGCCAUACCCUACCUGGUCAGCCCGCCUAUUGGAGGCUGGCUGGUUGAUGUUACAGGAAGUUACACAGCCACUUUCUUCCUCAGCGGCACCGCUCUGCUGGCCAGUGCGGUCAUUCUCUCCGCCGUCACCGGAAUUCGCCGUUGCCGCCAUCGAUCAGAUUCGGUGCUGCUGCCAUCUUCUGAAAACCGUCAUCAGGGAACCCAAGCCCCUCCACCUCAGUCUAUCUGACCAAUCAGGUGGUUUCAUCACCUUCAAUAGGGAGGUGUUACCUCACAACCCUUAGAGAAAAGUACCAAUCAGAUUCCUCGACACCAAAGCCAAGCAGACGGCUAAACAGGCUGACGGACAGGUAUCGAUCAAACGAUGACUUCACAGGGAGUGAAAUCUUUUUAGAGUCUGCUGAAAAUGAAAACGAUAGAAUGAUUUUAAUGUUUUAAUGUUGAGGAAACUCACAGCUUCCUGUCUGAGCUGCCUCAUUAUGUUUCCUCGCCACAGUCAUGUGACCGUGACGAACACCCAUUCAGUUCGUUAGCCGUGUGCUACGUCUUUUAGCGUAGUGUGAGUGUACCUAAUAAACUGGACAGCAAAUAACUCAUCAGUCCAAGCUGAACUGAUCACAGUUAUUGUAGCUGAACCUGAACGCACCACGAUGGUUCCAGCUGUUUGUAGUGGAGGUCACAUGACGACGCUCUCAGGUAUCGACUUUAUUAACGAAGAAAUAAGAACUGGACUAAAGUCAACGUGCUGCAGGAAGUGUGUGUGUGAGAGAGUGUGUGUGUGUGUGUGUGUGUGUGUGUGUGUGUGUGUGAGAGAGAGUGUGUGUGUGUG